RNAcentral lists this long non-coding RNA (206 nucleotides) under Lathyrus oleraceus (garden pea). RNAcentral describes it as "Pisum sativum (pea) long non-coding RNA (PSAT_LNC025432)". Lineage: Eukaryota; Viridiplantae; Streptophyta; Magnoliopsida; Fabales; Fabaceae. The record is from RNAcentral.
UUUUAUUGUGUUGACCAUUUGGAUUGACUUAUUUGAGUUUCUCAUUUGUUGUUGGGCCUUGGUCAAGGUUGAUUUGACUUUGUGAAGUUAUUAUUAUUGGAUUUAGGGGAUUGAUGGAAGAUACAUUCCAUCUCCCAAAAUGAAUGAAUAAUAUUAAUUUGGUAAAAGUCCUCCUUUGACCAAUUUGUGAUCUAUUUCAUCCCUUU